AGUGAGGUAACUGGGUCAAAUGGUGGUUCCAUUCCAAGUUUUUUGAGGAAUCUCCAUACUGCUUUCCAUAAUGGUUGCGCCAAUUUUCAGUCCUACCAGCUAU
This 103-nucleotide microRNA precursor is filed under the name Marmota monax (woodchuck). Lineage: Eukaryota; Metazoa; Chordata; Mammalia; Rodentia; Sciuridae. The record is from RNAcentral.